AGAGCGCUGCCGCGUCUCGAGGCCAACCAAUUUGUGUUCCGUUGCUUUGCCGUUUGUAUAAAUCAAUUGGCAAUGAGACGAUGCGAUGCCGAUGCCGAUGCUUGGGAUUCUACUUCUUCUUGGAGACGCGACAACCCGCUGUGCGGUGUCUAUUGGCAUGGCCAUCCUAUAAAUCGCUGCGCCCCCUGCACCAUCUCCCGCUCUCUAAUGCGUUAUGUGUGUGUGUUUUGGAAUAUGAUUUUUCCACUUGUUGCGAGUGCGUGGUGUGCCUGUGCCUAUGUGCCGGAGUGCCCGUGAUUGGUCUAUAAAUUAUUUGGUUUAUUGCAGCCCAAAGGGCACUCCAACGCCACCUCCGCCCCCGUUCUGCUGCGACACUGAUGGAUUACUCACGCUGCCCGUUGCACCUUAUCAGCCACUCCCUCGCCCGUCCUUCAAAUAUUUGCUUCCUUUUCGAUAUAUUAUGUACUUGAGCGCGUUUCUGAUGUAUUUGCUUCGCGACUUUACUUUCAAUUUCGUUUUUAAUUUUCUCAGAUCCACAGCAACAGCAACAGCAACAGCGACGCCACGGAAUUUGAGUUCGAUUUUUGUUAAAAUAUUUGCACAACUUAAGGGUCAGCGGAAUGACAGCACAGCGAGCGGAGACAGGCAGGGGCACCACCGAUAAAGGCCUUGACCUGUGGAUCACCCACCAGACAGACCUCGAUCGAGCCAUGAAUCAAUGAAAACCCAAAAACCUUCCAUCUAUGACACAAAUGCCGAGCUUUUUGUUGCUGCAACAGUAAAGUGCAACAAGCAACGAACAUUGAACAACAGUAAUAAUAUCAGCGGCAUUAAUAUUAAUUAAAUAAACGUUAAUUCAGCGCAUUAAUGCGUAAUAAAUAAUGCUCUUUUGAGGCAGGAAGAAUUAAUGCAUAAAACGCUACUUAUCGCUGCCCGAUUGGCACGAUGCAUCGAUGGAGCGAUGCCGCCGCCAUGCCAUGCCACGCCACGCCACGACACGACACGCCACGCACUUAUCUGUGUCAACACAGAGAGCUGAGCUGCAGCACAUGGACGGGGCCAGAGCCUGACAAACGCAUUGUCAAUAGCCUAUAGAUCCGCCUCUGGUCUGCAUUGGAGUUGGAGCUGAGUCGGAGUCAGAGUUUGGAAUCGUUGGUUGGUUGGCGCGUUGCAAUUACAUGUCUGUGACAAGAAUUUUAAAUGAAAAUCGCUGCGUAGUGCACUGGACAAAUGAUUCAAACUUUCGCAUUACGUGUGGAAAAUGUUUAAAACUCUGCAGAGAGCCGCACAGAGCCACAGACUACUCGGAUUCAAUCUCAAUGGAGGCAGGCGCCAUGCUCCAUGCAGCGGCCAAGCUGUGUGUCCGAGUACGAGUCGGAGUCGGAGUCGUAGUCCGUGCUUUUUGUGCGCUUUGCAUGCCCAAGGAGCGGAGGAGCCGUGCCUCUGGCGACGCGACGCAUGAAAUUAGAAAGGCAUUAUUGCAAAUCUCUCGCUUUAUUUAUCAGCAAUUUGUCAGCAAGUGUGCUGUGUGCUGUGUGCUGCACGGAUUAAAGUGGCAGGCCGCCCCAUGCCCCAUGCCUCAUGCCCCAUGCUUGCCUCUCGUCUGUUUGCCUUUCUAAUGCAAUGCAAUUGACACGGGCUGCAUCUACGCACAAAUUACUCGAGAAAUCAAGCACUCCAGCAGCUGUACAACAGAGUCCGAACUGUACUUCUCCUCUCUCUGUCUCUGUCUCUGUCUCUGUGGGUCAAGUGCAUUCGUUAAUGAACUCUGAGGGUAACCAACGACCCACGCCACUGGAGCCGCCAGCUGAUUUAUGACCCAUGCUGAGCUGCCGCAGCAUUAGAACUAUUCAGAGGAUAGUAGACUAAAGCGCACGGACAGACUGCUGCGGAGGAACACAGCUACCGUGCUGGGACGAGGACUGCGAAUUGCGAACUGCAAGAGGGAGCACCAGGGAGCACCAGGGAGCGAGGACGGGACAGUUGGAGGCUGCAGGCGCAGCCACAAUAAAUCAUCACAUCGAAGGAAGGCCAAUGGUAGUGGUGGUGCUGGUGGCGGAGAGCCGUGUGCCAGUGUGGCAGUGUGGCAGGGGCAGACGUGUACGAGUAACUGCGGCCAAGUUAUGUGGCUUCAUUGUGGACAGAAUGAACGCUUUUAAGCAGACAAUUGCAGCCUGGGGCGCAGCCACAACAGUGCAACGCACCCUCCCACUACCCCUGGCUAUUGUUUGCUGCCGUUCCUCCAACUCGACUGGAGCUUGCCACAGAUUUUCGUAGGCCGCACUGCGGGCAUAAAUCAUUUGGGCCUGCUGCUGCUGCUGCUGCUGCUGCCCCUGCUGGCUCCUGCUGCCGUUGCUGCUGUUGCUCCCCAGCGCCUCCUGCAACUUGCAACUUGCUGCAAUAUGAGUUAAUUUCUAGAGCCCG
Molecule: long non-coding RNA, 2424 nt
Organism: Drosophila subobscura
Lineage: Eukaryota; Metazoa; Arthropoda; Insecta; Diptera; Drosophilidae
Exons: 4
Source: RefSeq, a predicted model, not a curated record